AAAGCUCCCGUGGAACAGGAUGGACCCGCGUCUGAUUAGCUCGUUGGAGGGGUAACGGCCCACCUGGCUGGGAUCAGAGGCCGGCCUGAAAGGGUGAACGGCCAAAUUGGGACUGAUACACGGCCCAAACUCCUACGGGAGGCUUGGUGGGGAAUAUUGCACAUGGGGGGAAACCCUGAUGCAGCGACGCCGCUCUAGUGAAGAAAAUUUCGGGAUGAAAAGCUCUAUCAGCAGGGAAGAGAGGACGGGACCUGAGCAAGAAGCCCCGGCUGAGUACGUGCCAGCCCCCCCGGUAAUACGUGGGGGGCAAGCGUUAUCCGGAUUUAGUGGGUGUAGGGGGAGCGUAGAGGGCAAGGAAAGUCUGGAGUGAAAGCCCGGGGCUCAACCACGGGACUGCUUUGGAAACUGUUUAGCUGGAGUGCAGGAGAGGUAAGUGGAAUUCCUAGUGUAGCGGUGAAAUGCGUAGAUAUUAGGAGGAACACCAUUGGCGAAGGCAGCUUACUGGACUGUGACUGACGUUGAGGCUCGAAAGCGUGGGGAGCAGACAAGAUUAGAUACCCUGCUAGUCCACACGGUAAACGAUGAUCACUAGGUGUCGGGGGACGAACGUCCUUCCGUGCCGCCGCAGACGCACUAAGUGAUCCACCUGGGGAGUACGUUUCGCAACAAUGAAACUCGAAGGAAUUGACGGAGACCGCACGAGCGGGGGAGCUAGUGGUUAAAUUCGAAGAAAACCGAAAAACUUUUCAAGUCUUG
RNAcentral lists this ribosomal RNA (756 nucleotides) under uncultured bacterium. RNAcentral describes it as "bacterial SSU rRNA". It matches the Rfam family "Bacterial small subunit ribosomal RNA", at positions 202 to 983 of the family's 1533-position model. The record is from RNAcentral.